GUGGGGAAUUUUGGACAAUGGGCGCAAGCCUGAUCCAGCAAUGCCGCGUGCAGGAAGAAGGCCUUCGGGUUGUAAACUGCUUUUGUACGGAACGAAACGGUCCGGGUUAAUACCCUGGGCUAAUGACGGUACCGUAAGAAUAAGCACCGACUAACUACGUGCCAGCAGCCGCGGUAAUACGUAGGGUGCAAGCGUUAAUCGGAAUUACUGGGCGUAAAGCGUGCGCAGGCGGUUUUGUAAGACAGGCGUGAAAUCCCCGGGCUCAACCUGGGAAUUGCGCUUGUGACUGCAAGGCUGGAGUGCGGCAGAGGGGGAUGGAAUUCCGCGUGUAGCAGUGAAAUGCGUAGAUAUGCGGAGGAACACCGAUGGCGAAGGCAAUCCCCUGGGCCUGCACUGACGCUCAUGCACGAAAGCGUGGGGAGCAAACAGGAUUAGAUACCCCGGUAGUCC
Molecule: ribosomal RNA, 450 nt
Filed under: uncultured bacterium
Lineage: Bacteria
Description: partial 16S ribosomal RNA
Rfam family: Bacterial small subunit ribosomal RNA
Source: RNAcentral